GCAAAUGUAGUUUAAUAAAACGCUAGACUGUGACUCUAGAGAUGGAGGUUAGAAUCCUUCUGUCUGCC
RNAcentral lists this transfer RNA (68 nucleotides) under Nesogobius maccullochi. RNAcentral describes it as "tRNA-His". It matches the Rfam family "tRNA". From Rfam's summary of the family: Transfer RNA (tRNA) molecules are approximately 80 nucleotides in length. The record is from RNAcentral. Lineage: Eukaryota; Metazoa; Chordata; Actinopteri; Gobiiformes; Gobiidae.